UGGGGAAUAUUGGACAAUGGGGGGAACCCUGAUCCAGCCAUGCCGCGUGUGUGAAGAAGGCCUUAUGGUUGUAAAGCACUUUAAGCGAGGAGGAGGGUACUGGUAUUAAUACUACCAGGUACUGGACGUUACUCGCAGAAUAAGCACCGGCUAACUCUGUGCCAGCAGCCGCGGUAAUACAGAGGGUGCGAGCGUUAAUCGGAUUUACUGGGCGUAAAGCGUGCGUAGGCGGCUAAUUGAGUCGGAUGUGAAAUCCCCGAGCUUAACUUGGGAAUUGCAUUCGAUACUGGUUAGCUAGAGUGUGGGAGAGGAUGGUAGAAUUCCAGGUGGAGCGGUGAAAUGCGUAGAGAUCUGGAGGAAUACCGAUGGCGAAGGCAGCCAUCUGGCCUAACACUGACGAUGAGGUACGAAAGCAUGGGGAGCAAACAGG
RNAcentral lists this ribosomal RNA (430 nucleotides) under Pseudomonadota bacterium. RNAcentral describes it as "Proteobacteria bacterium partial 16S ribosomal RNA". It matches the Rfam family "Bacterial small subunit ribosomal RNA", at positions 355 to 776 of the family's 1533-position model. Lineage: Bacteria; Pseudomonadati; Pseudomonadota. The record is from RNAcentral.